RNAcentral lists this non-coding RNA (31 nucleotides) under Rattus norvegicus (Norway rat). The record is from RNAcentral. Lineage: Eukaryota; Metazoa; Chordata; Mammalia; Rodentia; Muridae.
UCAGUCCCACAGAAUGAACUCAGUGCUACCC